GUCCUGGCAGUAAACGGUGCACACUUGGUGUGGGAGGAUUCGACCCCUUCCGCGCCGGAGCUAACGCGUUAAGUGUGCCGCCUGGGAAGUACGGUCGCAAGAUUAAAACUCAAAGAAUUGACGGGGACCCGCACAAGCGGUGGAGUAUGUGGCUUAAUUCGAUGCAACGCGAAGAACCUUACCUGGUCUUGACAUGCAUUCUGUCUCCUGUGAAAGCAGGAUAGGUUAGCAAUAACCGGUUUGCACAGGUGCUGCAUGGCUGUCGU
RNAcentral lists this ribosomal RNA (266 nucleotides) under uncultured bacterium. Its description in RNAcentral is "partial 16S ribosomal RNA". It matches the Rfam family "Bacterial small subunit ribosomal RNA", at positions 793 to 1055 of the family's 1533-position model. The record is from RNAcentral.